Molecule: ribosomal RNA, 488 nt
Filed under: uncultured bacterium
Lineage: Bacteria
Description: partial 16S ribosomal RNA
Rfam family: Bacterial small subunit ribosomal RNA
Source: RNAcentral
AUUGAACGCUGGCGGCAGGCCUAACACAUGCAAGUCGAACGGUAACAGGAAGACGCUUGCUUCUUUGCUGACGAGUGGCGGACGGGUGAGUAAUGUCUGGGAAACUGCCUGAUGGAGGGGGAUAACUACUGGAAACGGUAGCUAAUACCGCAUAACGUCGCAAGACCAAAGAGGGGGACCUUCGGGCCUCUUGCCAUCGGAUGUGCCCAGAUGGGAUUAGCUUGUUGGUGGGGUAACGGCUCACCAAGGCGACGAUCCCUAGCUGGUCUGAGAGGAUGACCAGCCACACUGGAACUGAGACACGGUCCAGACUCCUACGGGAGGCAGCAGUGGGGAAUAUUGCACAAUGGGCGCAAGCCUGAUGCAGCCAUGCCGCGUGUAUGAAGAAGGCCUUCGGGUUGUAAAGUACUUUCAGCGGGGAGGAAGGGAGUAAAGUUAAUACCUUUGCUCAUUGACGUUACCCGCAGAAGAAGCACCGGCUAACUCCG